UUUUAUGUUUGGUACAGUACUGGUACCUUCAAUUUUAAAAGAACCGAGGUUUGGUAUGGUACUGGUGAUUUAUAGAUAACCGAACUGUACCGAUCCGUGCUCGGCCCUAAUCUAAUCAGAAAUAGACAAAUGAGAGUUUACAAAUUCUUGAGUUCUAAUCCUAUUACCCAUCCCCACAUGCGGUACACACAACAAUUCUCAUCACACUAUCACAAGUAAUUCAAUUCAAUCAUAAAAAAAGAAUAAAGCAAUUUAAAGAAAAAAAAUUAAAAUAUCCCAACAUAGUCAAUAAUCAUCAUUUGAAGUAACCCAAAGC
This 316-nucleotide long non-coding RNA is filed under the name Ricinus communis (castor bean). Its description in RNAcentral is "long non-coding RNA (RCOM_LNC001679)". Lineage: Eukaryota; Viridiplantae; Streptophyta; Magnoliopsida; Malpighiales; Euphorbiaceae. The record is from RNAcentral.